Molecule: ribosomal RNA, 238 nt
Filed under: uncultured bacterium
Lineage: Bacteria
Description: partial 16S ribosomal RNA
Rfam family: Bacterial small subunit ribosomal RNA
Source: RNAcentral
CCGGCGCACGGUGAGUAACGCGUAUGCAACUUGCCUAUCAGGAGGGGAGAACCGGCGAAAGUCGGACUAAUACCGCAUGAAGCAGGGGCCCCGCAUGGGGAUAUUUGCUAAAGAUUCAUCGCUGAUAGAUAGGCAUGCGUUCCAUUAGGCAGUUGGCGGGGUAACGGCCCACCAAACCGACGAUGGAUAGGGGUUCUGAGAGGAAGGUCCCCCACAUUGGAACUGAGACACGGUCCAA